Molecule: ribosomal RNA, 424 nt
Filed under: uncultured bacterium
Lineage: Bacteria
Description: partial 16S ribosomal RNA
Rfam family: Bacterial small subunit ribosomal RNA
Source: RNAcentral
AAUAUUAGACAACGGGCGAAAGCCUGAUCAAGCCAUGCCGCGUGUGUAUAGAAGGUCUUCGGAUUGUAAAGCACUUUAAGUUGGGAGGAAGGGCAGUGAGUUAAUAUCUUGCUGUUUGGACGUUACCCACAGAAAAAGCACCGGCUAACUUCGUGCCAACAGCCGCGGUAAUACGAAGGGUGCAAGCGUUAAUCGGAAUUACUGGGCGUAAAGCGCGCGUAGGUGGUUCAGUAAGAUGGAAGUGAAAUCCCCGGGCUUAACCUGGGAAUUGCUUUCAAAACUGACGAGCUAGAGUAUGGCAGAGGGUGGUGGAAUUUCCUGUGUAGCGGUGAAAUGCGUAGAUAUAGGAAGGAACACCAGUGGCGAAGGCGACCACCUGGGCUAAUACUGACACUGAGGUGCGAAAGCGUGGGGAGCAAACAGG